Molecule: ribosomal RNA, 1346 nt
Filed under: Glutamicibacter arilaitensis
Lineage: Bacteria; Bacillati; Actinomycetota; Actinomycetes; Micrococcales; Micrococcaceae
Description: bacterial SSU rRNA
Rfam family: Bacterial small subunit ribosomal RNA
Source: RNAcentral
CGGCUUGCUGGGUGGAUUAGUGGCGAACGGGUGAGUAACACGUGAGUAACCUGCCCCCGACUCUGGGAUAAGCCCGGGAAACUGGGUCUAAUACCGGAUAUUACCUUUGACCGCAUGGUUGUUGGUGGAAAGAUUUAUCGGUGGGGGAUGGACUCGCGGCCUAUCAGCUUGUUGGUGAGGUAAUGGCUCACCAAGGCGACGACGGGUAGCCGGCCUGAGAGGGUGACCGGCCACACUGGGACUGAGACACGGCCCAGACUCCUACGGGAGGCAGCAGUGGGGAAUAUUGCACAAUGGGCGAAAGCCUGAUGCAGCGACGCCGCGUGAGGGAUGACGGCCUUCGGGUUGUAAACCUCUUUCAGUAGGGAAGAAGCGAAAGUGACGGUACCUGCAGAAGAAGCGCCGGCUAACUACGUGCCAGCAGCCGCGGUAAUACGUAGGGCGCAAGCGUUAUCCGGAUUUAUUGGGCGUAAAGAGCUCGUAGGCGGUUUGUCGCGUCUGCCGUGAAAGUCCGAGGCUCAACCUCGGAUCUGCGGUGGGUACGGGCAGACUAGAGUGAUGUAGGGGAGACUGGAAUUCCUGGUGUAGCGGUGAAAUGCGCAGAUAUCAGGAGGAACACCGAUGGCGAAGGCAGGUCUCUGGGCAUUUACUGACGCUGAGGAGCGAAAGCAUGGGGAGCGAACAGGAUUAGAUACCCUGGUAGUCCAUGCCGUAAACGUUGGGCACUAGGUGUGGGGGACAUUCCACGUUUUCCGCGCCGUAGCUAACGCAUUAAGUGCCCCGCCUGGGGAGUACGGCCGCAAGGCUAAAACUCAAAGGAAUUGACGGGGGCCCGCACAAGCGGCGGAGCAUGCGGAUUAAUUCGAUGCAACGCGAAGAACCUUACCAAGGCUUGACAUGUGCCAGACCGCCUCAGAGAUGGGGUUUCCCUUCGGGGCUGGUUCACAGGUGGUGCAUGGUUGUCGUCAGCUCGUGUCGUGAGAUGUUGGGUUAAGUCCCGCAACGAGCGCAACCCUCGUUCCAUGUUGCCAGCACGUAAAGGUGGGGACUCAUGGGAGACUGCCGGGGUCAACUCGGAGGAAGGUGGGGAUGACGUCAAAUCAUCAUGCCCCUUAUGUCUUGGGCUUCACGCAUGCUACAAUGGCCGGUACAAUGGGUUGCGAUACUGUGAGGUGGAGCUAAUCCCUAAAAGCCGGUCUCAGUUCGGAUUGGGGUCUGCAACUCGACCCCAUGAAGUCGGAGUCGCUAGUAAUCGCAGAUCAGCAACGCUGCGGUGAAUACGUUCCCGGGCCUUGUACACACCGCCCGUCAAGUCACGAAAGUUGGUAACACCCGAAGCCGAUGGC